AUUGAACGCUGGCGGCAGGCCUAACACAUGCAAGUCGAGCGGAUGAAGUUAGCUUGCUCCUGGAUUCAGCGGCGGACGAGUGAGUAAUUCCUAGGAAUCUGCCUGGUAGUGGGGGAUAACGUCCGGAAACGGGCGCUAAUACCGCAUACGUCCUGAGGGAUAAAGUGGGGGAUCUUCGUACCUCACCCUAUCAGCUUAGCCUAGGUCUGAUUCGCUAGUUGGUGGGGUAAAGGCCUACCAAGGCGACGAUCCGUAACUGGUCUGAUAGGAUGAUCAGUCACACGGGAACUGAGACACGGUCAAGACUCCUACGGGAGGAAGCAGAGGGGAAUAUUGGAAAAUGGGCGAAAGCCUGAUCCAGCCAGGCGGCGGGUGUGAAGAAGGUUUUCGGAUUGUAAAGCAUGUUAAGUUGGGAGGAAGGGCAGUAAGUUAAAACCUUGCUGAUGUGACGUUACCAACAGAAUAAGCAACGGCUAACUUCGUG
Molecule: ribosomal RNA, 484 nt
Filed under: uncultured bacterium
Lineage: Bacteria
Description: partial 16S ribosomal RNA
Rfam family: Bacterial small subunit ribosomal RNA
Source: RNAcentral